UACGUAGGGUGCGAGCGUUUGUCCGGAUUUAUUGGGCGUAAAGAGCUUGUAGGCGGUUUGUCGCGUCUGCUGUGAAAAUCCGGGGCUCAACCCCGGACUUGCAGUGGGGUACGGGCAGACUAGAGUGUGGUAGGGGAGACUGGAAUUCCUGGUGUAGCGGUGAAAUGCGCAGAUAUCAGGAGGAACACCGAUGGCGAAGGCAGUCUCUGGGC
This 212-nucleotide ribosomal RNA is filed under the name uncultured bacterium. RNAcentral's name for it is "partial 16S ribosomal RNA". It matches the Rfam family "Bacterial small subunit ribosomal RNA", at positions 524 to 734 of the family's 1533-position model. The record is from RNAcentral.